AAGUCGUAACAAGGUUUCCGUAGGUGAACCUGCGGAAGGAUCAUUAACACGUAUCCAAACGUUAAAACCCCCCACCGUGAACCUUCAUCCUGCUCUUGUAACCCGCGUAGUUCGCAAUCUCUGAUAAAUCAUAGCCCGGAAUGUAAUACAUUGGGUAAAAAAACCGAACAACUGUUAACAAUGGAUAUCUUGGUUCUC
RNAcentral lists this unclassified non-coding RNA (198 nucleotides) under fungal sp. RNAcentral's name for it is "partial internal transcribed spacer region". The stretch from base 1 to 46 matches the Rfam family "Eukaryotic small subunit ribosomal RNA", at positions 1786 to 1831 of the family's 1831-position model. Lineage: Eukaryota; Fungi. The record is from RNAcentral.